This 2547-nucleotide long non-coding RNA is filed under the name Olea europaea subsp. europaea. The record is from RNAcentral. Lineage: Eukaryota; Viridiplantae; Streptophyta; Magnoliopsida; Lamiales; Oleaceae.
UGGAGCCACUGCGCAUCUCUCUCUCUCGUCCCAUUUCAUCUAAUCUCAUGUUUCCUCUUCCUCUCCUCUUUCUUUGAGCCCCGAUUUAGUUUCGUACCAUGCUCUCGGUAACGGGCAGGGGAAGAGCCAGAACCAAAUGGAAUUCCCAAACUAAAAUCAUCGGGAGACGGAGUGACUAGGGGCGAGAGCAGAAGUGCAGAAGCAGCAGAACCUGUGGCGAGUCGCGAUGGUCGAUGAGUUGUGAGUGUCAAUUGUCGAGUUGUGGGUGCCAGUUCUUGGGGUGAUGGAGAUGGAUUGACAGUGUCACGGACCUCUUCAUGAGUCGCCGAGUUGGCAAGCGCCUUUUAAUUUUCGGCCCUGUUCAAUUCUUCUGUAUGGCGUUAGCCCUAUUUUUGUUACUUUUUUUUUUUUAAUUAUUGUUUUUGCUCUGUGUUGAGUGUUGACGGAAGGAAUAGAUUAUGGUGGAUACACACUAAUUAUUCCAAAAAAGGAUUGUGGUAAAAGAAACUAUAUUUUUAUAAUAAUUAAUUCAUGUAAAGCUGGCAGAAUCAAUUGCGUUUGGAUUCUGAACUUAUGAAUAGAUUUAUCCCAAUUUUACAUUAAUUAUAUAGAUUUCGUGCAUUUCCCACGUAGUUUUUGUUGAGGAAUCACAUUACAGCACUGAAUUACAAGUAAUAUAAGAUUUUCUUGUUGAAACGGAAUAGGUUUUAUUGAACUUAAUCGUGGCGUUUGACUUAUUGAUGUUCAAUUUUCAUUAUCUUAUCUAAUUGUACUCAUCAAAUGAAUUGAAGGCUCGGGAGGAUUGGCAUAGUAACGAGUAAGUCUUGCGUUUUUUGGAUUCCUUAAUUAUACAUUGUAGUCUCUUUUUAUUCCCUUUUCUCUCCUUCCAGUAAAAGAGCCAAAGUUAAAACAAGAAAAAGGUUACCUUUCAGAUCUACAUCUUAUGCUCUAUAACCAACCAUAAAUAAUGGUUCUGUUUUAGCUCAUUUCUUAUUGAAAGAGAAAUUGCAGAAUUAGGAAUAUUCGGAUGCAUCUGAUAAAUAGUGGGUUCGUUGACUAGAAUACGGUUGUGGACCUUUUGGUGUGACGUCUCUUAGUUGAAUGAUUAUGGAAAGAUGUCAAUAUUGAGGGAAUGACUCUACUAUGAAGGCUGUUAUAAAUUUGUAGUGCAAAUAGUAUAUUAAUGAGAAGAAUUGGACAUAUUACAAGAUACCAAGAUCAAAAUGGGUAGAAAUUUGGCAUGAAGCAUAGAGAAACCCAUUCUAAAAAAAAAAAAAAAAAAAAAACACCAUUAGGUUGAUUUUUUCAUUUUACUUCUUGGUGGCUUUUCAUGAAAAAUCAUAUCUUUCAGGAAAGUUUAGAACUGAUUAGCGAAGUAUAGAUGAAAAAGUAGAAAUCUGUGAUAGUUUUUCAUGUUAAGAUUUUGGGUUUUAUCAUAAAAAAUCAACUUUGUUAAGAGAAAUAGCCUAAUAUUAAAUAAGUUGGUAUAUAUUUUCAUCUUUAUGCGAUAUGGAAUUAUAUCCUUUAACAUGCCUCCAUAAGAUGGUGACUCGUUGAACAAACUAAUCUUGAAAUUUGUGUGUUUAUUUUUUAGUUUUAAUUAGAUCGAAUUGCUUGUUAAAGAUUAAUGAACACUGAAUCUAUGUUAAGAUCUGGAGUUACAUAUUAAAAUAUCAACCUUGUUAAAAAGAGUAGUAUAAAACCUUAUAAAUUGGUCUAUGUUUUCAUAUUUAUUUAAUGUGAAAUUAUAUUCCUUAACAUUCCCUUUUCUAAUACUAAAUCAAUCUCAUACCAUAUUUGACUGAAUAAAAAAUCAUAUUUCAUUCUUCUUCUUUUUUCUUUUGUGUUCAUUUCUUUGAAGGAGUUUUUCAUGCUUUGUGCAAACUCUCAAAGGUUUGUAAUAUCCUCUGAACUGGUUGUCGAAAAUUCUAAAAGCAAUUUGUGUGGAGGUAACUAUCGAUUUUAGAAAAGCAUAUUUUAUAAGUGUAGGCCUUUUUUAGGUAUUCUUCAAUAUUUGGUUCCUGUUUCCAUUCUCCAUAUUCUCCUUUUCAUAUUUUUCAGCGACUUCUAAUUAGCCAUGGAUUAAGUGAUGACCUUACUUGGGCUAGCUAGGCGCUCAUGAAGAGCAUGAAGACAAGCAUUACGCUAAAUUGAGAAGUGAUGCGCACAAAUUUGCAUUGUAGGGCGUGCAAAUUAACCUCAAUGCUUCGGAUGAAGUUAGGAGAGUUCCUUUACAACGAAUAUGCUUUGAGAGGAUUGUAUAUUGUGUGUAAGCAUGCAACCAAGAUGGAAGCUGUGCAUCUCAAAUAAGCGAGCACCUUGGCACUGAGUGUAACACAUGGAUGUGUUCAAGUGUUCACGUGCAGUAAACUUUGUUGGAAAAAAAUAUGCAACUUGUCAUGUCUAGACUUAUGAUGAAAUUUGCUGGAAGGUAGUUGAAGGAGUGAGUGCAAAAUAUAGUCCUUUUGUACGACUUAGAGAGUCAACUCGUGUCAGAAAGUCUUGUGUUUCAUCAAGUAAAAGGGUUAUUAAGUAAGUAUUGACCAG